RNAcentral lists this ribosomal RNA (384 nucleotides) under Micromonas sp. RNAcentral describes it as "partial small subunit ribosomal RNA". It matches the Rfam family "Eukaryotic small subunit ribosomal RNA", at positions 582 to 975 of the family's 1831-position model. Lineage: Eukaryota; Viridiplantae; Chlorophyta; Mamiellophyceae; Mamiellales; Mamiellaceae. The record is from RNAcentral.
AUUCCAGCUCCAAUAGCGUAUAUUUAAGUUGUUGCAGUUAAAAAGCUCGUAGUUGGAUUUCGGUUGAGAGCGGCCGGUCCGCCGUUUGGUGUGCACUGGCUGGUUUCAGCUUCCUGCAGAGGACGCGCUCUGGGCUUAAUCGUCUGGACGUGGAGUCUGCGUGGUUACUUUGAAAAAAUUAGAGUGUUCAAAGCGGGCUUACGCUUGAAUAUUUCAGCAUGGAAUAACACUAUAGGACUCCUGUCCUAUUUCGUUGGUCUCGGGACGGGAGUAAUGAUUAAGAGGAACAGUUGGGGGCAUUCGUAUUUCAAUGUCAGAGGUGAAAUUCUUGGAUUUUUGAAUGACGAACUUCUGCGAAAGCAUUUGCCAAGGAUGUUUUCAUUG